UUUUUUCUACUGGGAGCUAAGGGAAUUAUGUGGUUCCUUAAUUAUAUGGCGUCACAAUUUCUUCUUUCUUGUGCUAAUGAUAUAAUUUGUUGGGAUAGGUUAGACAUUUUCCCUUCCAGCCUUUUCAUUGACUCCUCAUGCUUUUCGUUCAACGAAAUUCUAUAACUUGUUAACAUUCAUUAAUUUGCUUUGUGUUGUUAACAUAAAU
Molecule: long non-coding RNA, 208 nt
Filed under: Lathyrus oleraceus (garden pea)
Lineage: Eukaryota; Viridiplantae; Streptophyta; Magnoliopsida; Fabales; Fabaceae
Description: Pisum sativum (pea) long non-coding RNA (PSAT_LNC029618)
Source: RNAcentral